UUAGUUUUUUUUGUGUGGUUGUUCUUCAUUUAUAUUUUCUUUUAAUAAAAUGAACCAUUUUUAUUUGAGCACCUUGCAGAUAUUCAUUUUGUUUAUGGUCUGGCUGAUGGAAACGCGCUUGAAGCUCGUAGGAUGUACUUGUUAAGAUUUCCUCUAGAGAACUUUCAGUAGCUCUCAUCAGCAUCUCCGGGAAUUUGGAAGAUUCCAAACUAUCAGAAUGAAUGUUGGUAGGCCGCGUUAAGUCCGCAAGGCAAUGACGGAAGAGGAAAUUCUGUAACUUAUUGAGGAGAAUCCUGCGUUAAGCACGAGGAAAAUUGCACGGGAUUUAAACCUUCGUCAAUCGACAGUUUGGAGGGUUUUACAUGAAAACAGUUUUUAUACAUACCAUACCCAGUGCGUGCAUGGUUUUCCCCAGCGGGUACAAUUUGCAAGAUGGAUACUAAAUAAUUGUGCCAGGGAUCCGCACUUUUUAUCUCGCAUCCUAUUUACGGACGGAGCCCAGUUUACCCGCGAUGGGGUCGUUAAUUAUCAUAACGUCCAUGUUUGGGAAAUUGACAAUCCCCACGAAAUUCGACAGUCGAACCACCAAAAGCAGUUCAGUUUGAAUGUUUGGGCAAGGAUUGUUGCAGACUUUUUAAUUGAAUCAUUUACCCGGUUUAUUGGAGGAUCAUGCACGAUGGAGCCCCUCCCAAUUUUCGAAUAACUGUCCGCGAAUAUUUAGACCUUGAAUUCUCCAGAGCCAAUCCAAUAGCUUGGCCACCGCGUUUCCCAGACUGUACCCCGCUAGAUUUCUUUCUAUGGGGCCAUGUUAAAAGCCUCGUGUAUGAUGCUGUUCCUUCCAUUGAAAUCCUACAACAACGGAUAUUUCAUGCCUUCGAGGUAGUCAGAAACACUUCCGAAAUUUUUGAACGCGUUCGGCAGUCCAUGAGGCGAAGAAUGGAGGGUUGUAUCGCCGCAGGAGGCAGUCAUUUCCAGUAUUUGUUAUGAAAAUCUGCCUUUGUAUGUAUCUAUUACUUAGGCUAAGUUAAAUUUUGGAAAGAAAUUAAAUGAAUCUCAAUAAUC
Anthonomus grandis grandis is the source of this 1062-nucleotide long non-coding RNA. RefSeq lists it as uncharacterized. NCBI's taxonomy places the organism in Eukaryota, Metazoa, Arthropoda, Insecta, Coleoptera, Curculionidae. The record is from RefSeq and is a predicted model, not a curated record. The transcript has 2 exons.